AAUCAACGCUGGCGGCGCGCCUAACACAUGCAAGUCGAACGAGAAAGUCCGCAAGGAUGAGUAAAGUGGCGUACGGGUGAGUAACACGUGGAUAACCUGCCCUUUAGUGGGGAAUACCGCUGGGAAACCGGCGACAAUACCGCAUAAGCUCGAGAGAGGAAAGCAGCAAUGCGCUGAAGGAGGGGUCCGCGGCCGAUUAGCUAGUUGGCAGGGUAAAGCCUACCAAGGCUGGAUCGGUAGCCGGCCUGAGAGGGCACACGGCCACACUGGCACUGAAACACGGGCCAGACUCCUACGGGAGGCAGCAGUGGGGAAUCUUGCACAAUGGGGGAAACCCUGAUGCAGCGACGCCGCGUGAGCGAUGAAG
RNAcentral lists this ribosomal RNA (367 nucleotides) under uncultured bacterium. RNAcentral describes it as "bacterial SSU rRNA". It matches the Rfam family "Bacterial small subunit ribosomal RNA", at positions 29 to 413 of the family's 1533-position model. The record is from RNAcentral.